This 72-nucleotide transfer RNA is filed under the name Argiope bruennichi. RNAcentral's name for it is "transfer RNA proline (anticodon UGG)". It matches the Rfam family "tRNA". Rfam says of the family: Transfer RNA (tRNA) molecules are approximately 80 nucleotides in length. The record is from Rfam by way of RNAcentral. Lineage: Eukaryota; Metazoa; Arthropoda; Arachnida; Araneae; Araneidae. RNAcentral also lists the same sequence under 1 other name.
GGUUCGGUGGUCUAGGGGUAUGAUUCUCGCUUUGGGUGCGAGAGGUCCCGGGUUCAAAUCCCGGUCGAACCC